AGGCUGACGGAGCGACGCCGCGUGGAUGAAGAAGGCCGAAAGGUUGUAAAGUUCUUUUGUUGGGGAAGAAUAACCAUGGGAGGGAAUGCCCGUGGGAUGACAUGAACCGACGAAUAAGCCCCGGCUAACUACGUGCCAGCAGCCGCGGUAACACGUAGGGGGCGAGCGUUGUUCGGAAUUACUGGGCGUAAAGGGCAUGUAGGCGGUCUUGUAAGCUUGGCGUGAAAGACCACGGCUCAACCGUGGGAUUGCGUUGAGAACUGCGAGGCUUGAGUGACGGAGAGGGAGCUAGAAUUCCUGGUGUAGGGGUGGAAUCUGUAGAGAUCAGGAAGAAUACCAAUGGCGAAGGCAAGCUCCUGGCCGAUGACUGACGCUGAGGUGCGAAAGUGUGGGGAUCAAACAGGAUUAGAUACCC
This 415-nucleotide ribosomal RNA is filed under the name uncultured bacterium. RNAcentral describes it as "bacterial SSU rRNA". It matches the Rfam family "Bacterial small subunit ribosomal RNA", at positions 380 to 787 of the family's 1533-position model. The record is from RNAcentral.